Molecule: long non-coding RNA, 1736 nt
Organism: Cyanistes caeruleus (blue tit)
Lineage: Eukaryota; Metazoa; Chordata; Aves; Passeriformes; Paridae
Source: Ensembl
AUGGCAAGCCUUUCCCAGCCUUUCUCCACAGCUACUGACUUCAACUCCAUCACGCUUGGACACUGUAUUCGUGAUCCUCUUUUACUCUCCCUGACAAUGGCAGGCUAUAGAAAGAAGCAGAUAUGUGAAGGAAUCUGUCUGUCCUCUCAUCUGAGGGCAGCUUUGGUUGUCAGGCCAAGAAAAUGGCUGGCAUGGAUGUUGGAACUGGCAUGCUGCAGCCUUAGGUCUGUGCAUCUUCCUUCACCAAUAACCAGAGGGAAGCCUGAAGGAAGUUUACAGACCCAAGCCACCAAAUGUGAGGACCUUUCAGUGCAGGCUGGCUUGCAUAUCCAAAUCCUGAAGGACUCAUCAGCUGUUAGGAGAUUUACUGUAAAACCACAAGGAUUUGCAGUGGUUGUUGACCAGCCAUAUGCUCAGCUCAGUGCAGUGCCCUUUUGCACUUCUGACCAAGCUGCCUAUCUGUCCACUUUAAAGCUCUCCCUGCUGGCAAGAGUUUACAUUAGUUCAGCUACAGCAAGGACAUCACAUUUAUUCCAUAUUUGCCCUUUCCAGUAUUCACAAAUAAAAUUUGUCCAGUGUGAUAGAUGCAUUUGCUAGUGGUGCCUAAAAAACUCAUAACCAAGGAUGCAAUAAGCCAAGAUGAAAGCAAAUCUCCAAUCAACCCCAUGAACUACUAUAUGCUGAAGAAGUAUCCUGGAGAUUCAUUCUGCUAACAGAGCCCUGGCUUUUCUUCACCUUUUCAUUCACUUAAAUGGGGAGAACAGAAGAGCUGCUUAGCUGUUCACCUGAAAACAUCUAGAACCUAAAACCUCCGUACUUUGUAUUGGCAGUGAGAGUAAAAACCAUACACCCUCUUCAUCUUCUCCUUGGAGUGCAGCAUUGCAUCUCUGUCUGCAGACCUGGAGCACAUGGUUUGGUAAAGGCUGAGUGUGUAAGGGCUAAAGCACAGCAGUCAGUGGGUCUAUCCAUCCUAUUUUUAGUCAUGCACUCUGUACCUGAAGCACCCUUGGUUGGCUGCUGGUGGUGAGUAAAACCCAGAAAGCCAGUAACCUUUCUCAUGGCAUGCUCUCAUGGGUGAUGGAUGGGGUGAAGGGCACUUUGCAGGUUCCUGCUGUUACCCAAUAGCUUGUAAAGCCUCCAGAAGGAAAAGAAAGGCAAGGGGGAGGCUUUGCAGGAAGCUCAGAGCUCUGUCAUAUCGUUUAUUCCUGCCUAAUUGCCAAGGAUGUGAGGCAAUUGUUGACGAGGCUGCGAGAGAAGGGAAGUGCCCUUUCCCACCUUCUCAACCUGCUCGUGGUUGCAUAAGCCUCAAAGCGCAGAGCCUGAGGUUGCUAUGCCAACUUGCAUAGUUCCUCCCAUCCACCUCCCCGUCUGAGCAAUGCCGUGGGCCUGAAGGAGCAGGAGUCCAUCCUGAAACAGCAAACGAUAGGAUCAACUGGCAGCAGAGGCUCUGCUCCAUCAGUGGAGCAGACUGAAGGACUCCACGAGCUGUGUGUACCCAUGGCCCUUGUGCCACUGAUGAGACACUGCAUCAGAGCAACUGGUUUGCAGCACUUCUGCUUCAAUGUCCUGAGUGCUUUACCUUUGCUGCUGAAUUUGGUUUCAAGUCCUCAUUGACAGCACAGAGUCUGUGCUGCUACCCAUCAAAGGAAUCACAAGUUCAGCAUGAGUCUGUGUGUCUGCUUUCCCUUCUGUAGCAUUAAAAUAAAGUGCCUUUCAAAGGAACUGGGAAGGAAUCG